This 323-nucleotide ribosomal RNA is filed under the name uncultured Actinomycetes bacterium. RNAcentral describes it as "bacterial SSU rRNA". It matches the Rfam family "Bacterial small subunit ribosomal RNA", at positions 28 to 351 of the family's 1533-position model. Lineage: Bacteria; Bacillati; Actinomycetota; Actinomycetes. The record is from RNAcentral.
GACGAACGCUGGCGGCGUGGAUUAGGCAUGCAAGUCGAACGGUGAAGCAGAGCUUGCUCUGUGGAUCAGUGGCGAACGGGUGAGUAACACGUGAGCAAUCUGCCCUUGACUCUGGGAUAAGCGCUGGAAACGGCGUCUAAUACUGGAUACGAGCUGCGAAGGCAUCUUCAGCAGCUGGAAAGAACUUCGGUCAAGGAUGAGCUCGCGGCCUAUCAGCUUGUUGGUGAGGUAAUGGCUCACCAAGGCGUCGACGGGUAGCCGGCCUGAGAGGGUGACCGGCCACACUGGGACUGAGACACGGCCCAGACUCCUACGGGUGGCAG